Molecule: ribosomal RNA, 524 nt
Filed under: uncultured bacterium
Lineage: Bacteria
Description: partial 16S ribosomal RNA
Rfam family: Bacterial small subunit ribosomal RNA
Source: RNAcentral
GACGAACGCUGGCGGCGUGCCUAAUACAUGCAAGUCGAGCGCAGGAAAUCGACGGAACCCUUCGGGGGGAAGUCGACGGAAUGAGCGGCGGACGGGUGAGUAACACGUAAAGAACCUGCCCUCAGGUCUGGGAUAACCACGAGAAAUCGGGGCUAAUACCGGAUGGGUCAUCGGACCGCAUGGUCCGAGGAUGAAAGGCGCUUCGGCGUCGCCUGGGGAUGGCUUUGCGGUACAUUAGCUAGUUGGUGGGGUAAUGGCCCACCAAGGCGACGAUGCAUAGCCGACCUGAGAGGGUGAUCGGCCAGACUGGGACUGAGACACGGCCCAGACUCCUACGGGAGUCAGCAGUAGGGAAUCUUCCACAAUGGACGAAAGUCUGAUGGAGCAACGCCGCGUGAACGAUGAAGGCCUUCGGGUCGUAAAGUUCUGUUGUAAGGGAAGAACAAGUGCCGCAGGCAAUGGCGGCACCUUGACGGUACCUUGCGAGAAAGCCACGGCUAACUACGUGCCAGCCGCCGCAGUAA